Molecule: ribosomal RNA, 951 nt
Filed under: uncultured Gram-positive bacterium
Lineage: Bacteria
Description: bacterial SSU rRNA
Rfam family: Bacterial small subunit ribosomal RNA
Source: RNAcentral
GAGUUUGAUUAUGGCUCAGGAUGAACGCUGGCGGCGUGCCUAAUACAUGCAAGUCGAGCGAACAGACGAGGAGCUUGCUCCUCUGACGUUAGCGGCGGACGGGUGAGUAACACGUGGAUAACCUACCUAUAAGACUGGGAUAACUUCGGGAAACCGGAGCUAAUACCGGAUAAUAUAUUGAACCGCAUGGUUCAAUAGUGAAAGACGGUUUUGCUGUCACUUAUAGAUGGAUCCGCGCCGCAUUAGCUAGUUGGUAAGGUAACGGCUUACCAAGGCAACGAUGCGUAGCCGACCUGAGAGGGUGAUCGGCCACACUGGAACUGAGACACGGUCCAGACUCCUACGGGAGGCAGCAGUAGGGAAUCUUCCGCAAUGGGCGAAAGCCUGACGGAGCAACGCCGCGUGAGUGAUGAAGGUCUUCGGAUCGUAAAACUCCGUUAUUAGGGAAGAACAAAUGUGUAAGUAACUAUGCACGUCUUGACGGUACCUAAUCAGAAAGCCACGGCUAACUACGUGCCAGCAGCCGCGGUAAUACGUAGGUGGCAAGCGUUAUCCGGAAUUAUUGGGCGUAAAGCGCGCGUAGGCGGUUUUUUAAGUCUGAUGUGAAAGCCCACGGCUCAACCGUGGAGGGUCAUUGGAAACUGGAAAACUUGAGUGCAGAAGAGGAAAGUGGAAUUCCAUGUGUAGCGGUGAAAUGCGCAGAGAUAUGGAGGAACACCAGUGGCGAAGGCGACUUUCUGGUCUGUAACUGACGCUGAUGUGCGAAAGCGUGGGGAUCAAACAGGAUUAGAUACCCUGGUAGUCCACGCCGUAAACGAUGAGUGCUAAGUGUUAGGGGGUUUCCGCCCCUUAGUGCUGCAGCUAACGCAUUAAGCACUCCGCCUGGGGAGUACGACCGCAAGGUUGAAACUCAAAGGAAUUGACGGGGACCCGCACAAGCGGUGGAGCAUG